GUCACAUGGGUGAUGCUGCUGACCCUGUGCCUGCCAUUACAGGAGGAAGUGUCAUCAUCAACUGUGUGUAUAAUCGUGAAAAUGCGAAAACCAGUGCAAAAAGCUUUUGCAAAAAGUUGGGCAGUAAUUGUACAACCAUGACAGAAGUAAAGAAUGAUUUAUGGAUCCCAGAGGAGAGAUUCUCUAUGACUGAUAAUACAACUCUGGGUCUGAUUAGUGUGCUCAUUAGAAACCUGACUGUAAAUGACAGUGUAUUUCUGUGGAAUAUACAGCAACCUUAUCUACAUUCCCCUUUUCACAGAGAUUCAUCUUCAUGUUUCAGGUGAGAACACAAGGUGCUUCACGAUGCCACAGAAGAACCUUUUUGUCUAAAUGGUUCCAUAAAGAAUCUUUACAUCUGAAGAACCUUUCUGUUUCACAAAAGCUUCUUUGUGGUGAAAGAAUGUUCUUCGGAUUAUAAAAAGGGAAGAAAGAGAUGGUUCUUUGACUGAAUGGUUCUUUAUGGAGCCAAAAAUGGUUCUUCUAUGGCAUCGCUGUGAAGAACCCUCUGAAGUACCUUUAUUUUAAAGAGUGUACAUGUAAUGUAUGCUAAUGUCAUUUUGAUUCUUGACCUUUCAUCUGUGGACAACAAUGGAAAACCAAGAACAGAUGCUUCAGUCCAGUCUGAUCUCUACGUCAUCAUUAUGGUGAAUAUGUGUUUGAUUCUGUUAUUAGCUGGAGGACUGAGUUUGUUGUUGCUCAAGCGGAAAUGUAAAAAGACACAAGGUACAAACACAAAUGCUCCGAAACCAAAUGUGAUACUGAAAUCUCUUAACUUCUGUAUUCUUGUAUAUUCACUUGCAUCAUUUUGUCCAUCCACAGGUUCAGUCUCAUCAGAUCAGAGGAGCACAAGAGACGAUGAUGAGGUGGCCUCAUCUGCUUAUUAUGCAACGAUCCCAGACUCUGGAAACACAACAUUACACCCGUCUGUUCAGAAGCCCAUUGGUUUAAACACGGUUUAUGACACGGCCCAUUUACCCACAAACCCCUCUGACAGUGAUUUCUACACACUGGCUGAACAACCUCAAAAUAUGACAUGUUUGUGAUUCAGUAUGUUGGCAUAUAUUAGAAUAAAUAAAGUCAAUUAUUUGUCA
Long non-coding RNA from Cyprinus carpio (common carp), 1133 nucleotides. The record is from Ensembl. NCBI's taxonomy places the organism in Eukaryota, Metazoa, Chordata, Actinopteri, Cypriniformes, Cyprinidae.